RNAcentral lists this long non-coding RNA (11891 nucleotides) under Homo sapiens (human). Its description in RNAcentral is "non-protein coding lnc-RNF135-1:33". The record is from RNAcentral. Lineage: Eukaryota; Metazoa; Chordata; Mammalia; Primates; Hominidae.
AUUUUCUCUUUGUGGAGGCUGGGUUCGCGUGCUCUUCUGAGCUGUGGUCGUCAUGGACCGGAAGCGUGUGCGGCGCGCCUGCCUUGAGGCCAGCAUCAGGGAAGGGUGUCCCAGGUGCAGGCGAAGCUUCCUUCAGGUGCUCCUGGAGGACUUUUGGCUCGCAAGCGCUUCUCCAUUCUCCCAACGUCUCGGGCCUGGAGGUGAAGUGAAAUCUGCAAGAGUCCUGCUCGUUCAAGGCCUGCAUACAGGAAAGAAGCAGGGGAAAAGCGUUAGAAACAGCUUUUGUUCUACAGCAUUUUAAAAUAUAAUAGGUAUAUUGAAAAGUCUGAUUCAGUUACAAUCAGUGUAUGGAAUCACAAGAAGAUCCAUAAGAAACAAGGUGCUGGAUUUCUCCGUUGUGUUCGUCUUUUUCCAGUGCCAUCAACCACCUCAAAGACACUGGUUAUCAGAGGUUGGAUUUAUGCAAACUUGGGCCAAAGGACAGUUAGAAGACAGUAGCUGAAGAAGCAUCUGUAGGGAAUCCAGAAGGAGCAUUCAUGAAGAUGUUACAAGCCCGGAAGCAGCACAUGAGCACUGAGCUGACUAUUGAGUCGGAGGCGCCCUCAGACAGCAGUGGCAUCAACUUGUCAGGCUUUGGGAGUGAGCAGCUAGACACCAAUGACGAGAGUGAUGUGAUCAGCUUGAAAUUCAGCUAACCGAGCAGCUACGGUCCCUCAUCCCCAACGAGGAUGUGAGAAAGUUCAUGUCUCAUGUUAUCUGGACCUUGAAAAUGGAAUGUUCAGAAACACAUGUGCAAGGGAGCUGUGCCAAGCUCAUGUCGCGAACAGGCCUCCUGAUGAAGCUUCUCAGCGAGCAGCAGGAAGCAAAGGCAUUGAAUGUAGAAUGGGAUACGGACCAACAAAAAACAAAUUAUAUUAAUGAGAACAUGGAACAGAAUGAACAGAAAGAGCAGAAGUCAAGUGAGCUCAUGAAAGAAGUUCCAGGAUAUGACUAUAAGAACAAACUCAUCUUCGCAAUAUCUGUGACUGUCAUACUAAUAAUUUUGAUUAUAAUUUUUUGUUUUAUAGAGGUAAAGACAAUAAUUAAUUCAGGUUUUCAAAAUACAAUCCUGUGUUUGUGUGGAUUCAGAAUCCACAAACUGAAAACCAACGUCACUUUCCCACUUGACAUUCUUCUUCUGUCAUUUAAGGCUGAGGUGUGCUUUGUUCUUUUACUGCAAUGUAUAUUCCAGGAUUGUUAAAGGAUCCUCGCUUCCAGGAGGUCUCUGUGAAAUAAAACCAAGUUAAUCCCACUAGACUAUUUUAAGAAGUUAAGUUGAUAUAAUAGCAAAAUUUCUCCCACCCAAAACUAUGUCAACAAUUGGAUGUACUCACUGAGUCACCCCUUACUCUGCCACUAAUUUAUUUCCUUGUUGCUUAAAUGAUGAGAGACAUAUAAUCUCCACCCUCACGGAGUUGUCAUCACCCUGGAGAGGAAGAAGACAGCCAAAAGAGAGAAGUAUUGUCUUGUAGACUUACUAGAUUCACAUAGUAUCAUCCUUCUCCAGUGUGUAAGGUGUUGUCUAAAUAGGUCCAGUUAAAGAACUACAGGGUAGCCAUUUUUAAAAAAAAAUUUUGGCCACGUUUUCAAAUUCACAGGGGAGGGGGAAUGUCUCAUACUCCAGCCCUCCUGAGCCUAGGCCCUCUGUGAGAUGUGUCACCAUUUCUUGGACACCAUAUGAGACAUUCCCCCUCGGAUUAGAGAUGCUCAACCUGCAUCAACAAAUCUAAAGCCUGCAUCUGGCUACCCUGGGGCGAGUCCUGUUUACAGUGCCUAUUCCUGGAGCUCGCCUCUUUUUGCCUUUUGUUUGAUUAUGUGAUGUAUUACUUUUCCCAGCAGGCCAGUGCUAGCAUACUGGAAGAGGGAUUUAAUAAGCUGGCACCCUUGAUGCUAUGCUCCUAAUCCAACCUUAUUUGCCUCAUUGGCCAUUUCCAUUAUGGUGGCAGCCCUCCAUUCCAGCCACAGCAGCCCCUCAGCGUCCCCCAGUCACACUGUCCCCAUUGCUGCUCAUCUGUGCCUUUGUCCAUCUACAAUGCCCUUAUUUCACUCUGCCUGUGGGAGUCCUGUGAAUCUCUCCAAAGCCAACUCAGUUCAUCUUUCUGCUUGAAACCUUCCCUGAAUAGGCCAGGUGCGGUGGCUCACGCCUGUAAUCCCAGCACUUUGGGAGGCCAAGGCAGGCGGAUCACAAGGUCAGGAGAUCGAGACCAUCCUGGCUAACACAGACCAUUCUCUACUAAAAAUGCAAAAAAUUAGCUGGGUGUGGUGGCGGGCGUGUGUCGUCCCAGCUACUUGUGAGGCUGAAGCAGGAAAAUGGCAUGAACCUGGGAGGUGGAGCAUGCAGCCAGCCAAGAUCGGGCCGCUGCACUCCAGCCUGGGGGACAGAGCGAGACUCUGCCUCAAAAAAAAAAAAAAAAAGAAACUUCCCUGAAUAUUCCAGCCCUCCUGAGCCUAGUCCCUUUGUGAGAUUUGUCCCCAUUUCUUGGACACCAUAUAAGAGACUUCAGAGGCUGAAGUGGGAGGAUUGCUUGAGCCUGGGAGGUCGAGGAUGCAGUGAGCUGUGGUCAUACCACUGCACUCUAGCCUGGGCAACAGAGCGAGACCUUGUCUCAAAAACAGCCACCACCAAAAACUAUCUUGGGAUUUGAAUAGGAUUACCUUAAAUUUGUAGAUUAAUUUGAGAAUUGACAUCUGUACGACAUUCUAGAACAUGGUAUUUCAUGUCAUGUAUUCAUUUCUUGUUAAUGUCUUUCAGAAGAGUUUUAGGGUUUCCAUCAUAUAGAUCUUACACGUCUUUUGUUAGAUAACAGAUCUUUGUAUUUUUGUUCCUAAAUACUUCAGACAUUUGUAUUGCCAUUGUAAAUGGGAUCUUUCUUCCAUUUUCUAGUUAGUUAUUGGUGGUACAUCUGAAAAGCAUUUGAGGUUUGUGUGCUGCUCUCUUGAUUUUGUUUCUAGCCACCGUACUGAAUUCUCAUAUUACUUCCAGUAAAAUCUUAGUUGAUUCUCUUAGGCUUCUUUGGCUAACAUUUAUUAUUUUAUAUGCAAAUAAUUAUAGUUUUGUCUCUUCCUUUUCAAUACUUACACUCUUUCCUUCCUUUCCUUUCUUUUUUUUUUCUUUCUCAGGGCCUUGUUGUCACCCAGACUGGAGAGCAAUGGUGUGAUCUAGCUCACUGUAACCUCAAACUCCUGGGCUUAAGGGAUCCUCCUGCCUCAGCUUCCUGAGUGGCUGGGACUACAGGCAGGCAGUGAAUUUUAAAACUUUUGGUGUAGAGACAAGAUCUUGCUAUGUUGCCCAGGCUGGUUUUCCUGCCACUUUAGAGCAGGUUUCCUUUUUUUCAUACUUUUAAGAGGUUUUUAUUAGGAAUUGUCCAUUGAAUGUUAGCUAAAACAGUCAAUAAAAUGCGUUAAGUACCAGCUACAUGCAAGACCCUAAGUUAGAUACAGUCAGCCCUCUUCAUCAGCAGGUCCACAUCUUCAGAUUCAACUAGAUAAGGCUGAAUAUUUGAAGAAAAAAACAAUAAAAAUACAAUUAGAAAGUACAGUAUAACAACUGUUGCCAUGAUACAAUAUCUAUACAUUUUAUUAGUGAUGACCUAAAGUUCAUGGGACCAGGCACGGUGACUCACACUUGUAAUCCCAACACUUUGGGAGGCCAACCUGGGCAGCAUAGUGAGACCUUGUCUUUAAUAAAAAUAAAAAUAAAAAAAUUAGCUAGUGUGGUGGUAUGCACCUGUAGUCCCAGCUACUCAAGAGGCUGAGGUGGGCAGAUCACUGGAGCCCAGGAGGUUGCGGCUGCUGUGAGCUGUGAUUGUGACACUGCUCUCCAGCCUGAGUGACAGAGGGUGAUCCUGUCUCUAAGUAAGUAAAUAAAUAAAGUAUAUGGGGGGGAUGUGUGUUGGUUAUAUGCAAACACUGCACCAUUAUACGUAAGGGAUUGAGCAUCCACAGAUUCUGGUAUGGUGUGGAGGCGAUAUCCUAGAACCAGUCGUCUGCAAGGUAGCAAGGAUGACUGAACUGUGGAAGAAUCAAAGCACUGUUAAACAGCAUACAAUUCCUGUCUUCAAAAAAGUUAUCUCAUCGGGUAGAUGAGACUUAAAAUGAAUAAAAGGAAUGAAUACACAUUGGAGAUAGUGGUUGUUGUGAUAGAUAACCUUAAUUGUGUUUUCUUCCAAAACGGGUGAAUUCACAUAAAAGGGCAUCAGAAAAAUACAAAGACAACCCAUCAAUAUCAGGAGCCUGAGCAUGAGUUAAAGCAUGUGGAUGGCCUAGAGCCAUGUUUUUAAAAUUGUUAUUAAAUAUUGGUUUUUUACUUAAAUCAAUGAAAACUUUCUUUACUUUGUGGUUGUGUUCCUCAAAAUGAGAAUUUUUAACAAUAAUAAAAAUAAAGCUUAUUAGAUCAUUUUUAAUGGUAAUAAAUUGGUUACUGAAGAUUUGACUAAAGAGAAAACUAGGCCAAUCUAAGUAGAGUCCAAAUGAAGUAGAAAGUCCAUAGAGAACAGGCAAAAAGGAAGUUGUGGAACCACAGACAGUAAAAGGAAAAAAUUGGCGGGGCGCAAUGGCUCAUACCUGUAAUCCCAGCACUUUGGGAGGCUGAGGUGGGUGGAUCGCUUGAGCCCAGUUCAGGCAACAUGACAAAACCCCCACCUCUACAAAAAAAAUAGUCAACAUGACAAAACCCCCAAUGUCUACAAAAAAAUACACAAAACAUAUGAGCCAGGGGUGGUGGUGUGCACUUGUAGUCCUAGCUACUUGGUAGGCUGAGGUGGGAGUAUCGCUUGAACCUGGGAGGUGGAGGUUGCAGUAAGCUGAGGUUGAGCUGUUAUACCCCAACCUGGGUGACAGUUGAAAGAGUGAGACCCUGUCUUUAAAAAAAAAAAAAAAAGGAAGAAAGCAAAGAAAAAAAAAUUUAUUUUUGUGACAAGUUCUCUUUCUGUCUCCCAAGCUGGAGUGCAAUGGCAUAAUCAUAGCCCACUGCAGCCUCAAACUCCUGGGCUCAAGGCAUCCUCCUGCCAUAAAGGCCUCCCAAAGUGUUGGGAUUACAGGCAUAAGCCACUGUGAGGCUAGAUUUUUUUUUUUUUUUUUUUUUUAAGCAAGGUUUGGCUCUGUCACCCAGGCUGGAGUGCAGUGGUGCAAUCUUGGCUCACUGCAACCUCUGCCUCCCAGGCUCAAGUGAUCCUCCUGCCUCAGCUUCUCAAGUAGGUGGAACUACAGGCACGUGCCACCAAGCCUGGCUAAUUUUUGUAUUUUUUGUAAAGAAGGGGUCUUGAUACGUUGCCCAGGCUGGUCUUAAAUUCCUGGGUUACAGUGAUCCACCCACCUCAGCCUCCCAAAGUGCUGGGAUUACAGGUGUGAGUCACCACGACUGGCCAAAAAAAGUUAAGUGUUAAAAUCAAAAAGAAAAUUCACCAAGCCAUUUUGCAUAUUUUUCUGGAAAGAUACAGAUACAUAUAUAUACAUAUAUAUAGAGAGAGAGAGAGAAAGAGAGAGAGAUCUGGACUGGACACCCUAUACUAUCAGUUGGGUACAACUUUGUUUCAGAAAGGACAAAGGGAACUGAUUAGAGUUAAGGCACAUAUAUGUGUGUGUGUGUGUGUGUGUAUUUUCCCAAUUCCUCAUACCACUCCUUUUUAUUAAUUUUUAUUGAGAUAUAAGUUAUACACCAUAAAUUCACCCUUUUAAAUAAGUGCAGAAUUUAGUGGGUUUUAGUAUAGUAUUCACAAGGCUGUACAGCCAUCACCACUAUUUAAUUCCAGAACAUUUUCAUCACCCCAGAAAGAAGCCCCAGAAUCACUGGCCCUGCUCCCCAUUUCCUCUCCUAUUUCCUGGCAAGUAUUUACUUCCUAUGAAUUUGCCCAUUUGGGACAUUUCAUAUAAAUCAUACAAUACAUGAUUUCACUAAAUAAGACUUUUGUGUGUGGCUUCAAACAAUUUUUAAAAAUUGAGGUAAAGUAGGCAUAAUAUAACAUUUACAGUCUAACCACUGCCCCCUCUCCCCACCUAUUUUUUGAGACAGGGUCUCACUCUGUCUUCCUGGCUGGAGUGCAGUGGUGUGAUCAUGACUCACUGCAACCUCAGCCUCCCCGGGGCUCAGGUGAUCCUCCCACCUCAGUCUCGCAAGUAACUGGCACCACAGGCACACACCACCAAACCUGGCCAAUUUUUGCAUUGUAGAGACAGGAUUUCGCUAUGUUGCCCAGGCUGGUCUUGAACUCCUGGACUCAAGUGAUCCUCCCACCUCAGCCUCCCAAAGUGCUGGUAUUACCGGCAUGAGCUACCACACCUGGCUGUCUCUAACCAGUUUUAAGUGUACAAUUCAGUAGUGUUAAGUAUAUUCACACUGUUGUAAAACAAAUUUCCAGAACUUUUUCAUCUUCCCAAAUUGAAACUCUGUACCUAUUAAACACUAAUUCCCCAUUCUCUCCUCCCAGCCCAUGGUAACCACCCUUCUACUUUCUGUCUUUAUGAAUCUGACCACUCUAAGUACCUCAUAUGAGAGGAAUCACACAGUAUUUGUCCUUUGGUGACUGGCUUAUUUCACUUAGCAUAAUGCCCUCAAGGGUUCUCCAUGUUGUAACAUGCGUCAGAAAUUCAUUCAAGGCUGAAUAAUAUAUCCGUUAUAUAGAUCAAUCACAUUUGAGUUAUCCAUUCAUCAGUUAAUGCACAUGUAGGUUAUUUCCACCUUUUGGUCAUUGAGAAUAAUGCUGCUGUAUACAUACGUGUAUGCGUUUCUGCAUGACUAUUUGUUUGCAAUUCUUUUGACUAUGUAUGUCUCGGCUCACUGCAACCUCCGCUUCCCGGGUUCAAGCGAUUCUCCUGCCUCAGCCUCUCGAGUAGCUGGGAUUAGAGGCACCUGCCACCACACCCGGCUAAUCUUUGUAUUAUUAGUAGAGACGGGGUUUCACCAUGUUGGCCAGGCUGGUCUCAAACUCCUGACCUCAGGUGAUCCACCCACCUCAGCCUCCCAAAGUGCUGGGAUUAGAAGUAUGAGCCACCACACCUGGCCAUGAAUUUGGUCCAGUGUCUGAACUUCACCUCUAGAGUCCCUUCCAGCCUCCUACCUCACUCCCACCUUGGCCUCCUGAGUAGCUGGGACAACAGGCUUGCGCCACCAUUAACCAGCUCAUUAAAAAAAAGUUUUUUUCUUUGUAAAUAUGGGGUCUCCCCAUGUUUCCCAGACUCCAAACCUAUUUCCUAACCUUUAUCAUUAUCUGCUUCUGUGGGAUGUGAAUGGAAGCGAGGUGUGCUACAUUCAGGCUUUUAACACCUCCCACCUGCACCUUCUAAUUCUUCCUUUGCAUCUUCUGGCUGGACAAAGAGGGUCUUGUGGGGCCUCUGAGUCACUGGAAGAAGGUGAAGCCACAAUAUAGCUGGAGUCUGGUUCCCAGGUGCAGCAGUGUGAUGUGAGUGAGAAAGUAGCCUUUAGUGCAUUAAGCCACUGGGAUCUACAGGUUGCUCGUAGAUCAACCACGUCUACAGACGUGGGGGCACCACCAUGCUCAGCUAAUUUGUUAUAUGUUUAUGUAGAGAUGGGGUCUUGCUAUGUUGCCCAGGCUGGUCUCAAACUUCUGGGCUUAUGUGAUCCUCCCAUCUCAGCCUCCCAAGUAGCUGGGACUGCAGGCUCAUGCUACCAUACCCAGCUAAUUUUUAAUAUUUUUUUCUGUAGAGAUGGAGUCUUGCUAUAUUGCCCAGGCCAGUCUCGAACUCUUGGGCUCAAGCAAUCCUCCCGUCUCAGCCUCCCAAAGUGCUGGGAUUAUAGGUGCGAGCCACCACGCCCAACCAGUUGCUUAAUUCUUACAACAGCCCUCGGAGGUAGGUUCCAUUGUUAGCCCCAAUCUUAUUUAUUUAGAUGGAGUCUCACUCUGUUGUCCAGGCUGGAGUGCAGUGGCAUGAUCCCAGCUCACUGCAACCUUCGCCUCCUGGGUUCAAGUGAUUCUCUUGCCUCUGCCUCCUGAGUAGCUGGGAUAACAGGCACAGGCCACCAUGACUGGCUCAUUUUUUUUUUUUUUUUUUUGUAUUUUUAGUAAAGACAGGGUUUCAUCACGUUGGCCAGGUUGAUUUUGAAUUCCUGACCUCAAAUGAUCUGCCCACCUCGGCCUCCCAUAGCCCCAAUCUUUAAAUGAGGAAAUUGAGGUGCAGAGAGGGUCGGCCACUUGCCAAAUGGGAAAAGCUAGAAUUCUAACCCAGACCAUUUGCCUUCAAAACCUACCCUGACCACCACAGUAACCUGUGAUAAGGUGCAACUCAGAGUAAAUAACCUCCUCUCUGGGCCCUGAUGUCUCUCUACCUACAAUGGAUUUCCUGUUCCUGUGUGGGGAGGGAGGUGCAACACCAGCCCCCGAGCUUUGAGCCUUGCCUCGUCCUCCCUGUAUAUUAAGGAGUGCUCAGAUGUGGCUGUAGCUGCACCUCUUUCUCCAAGAUGGAGCCCACCCAGAGAUGCUGUGUGCAAAAGGCUUGACUCAUAGCCGGCGCAUAAUAUGCCUUCAAUAAAUGUUUGAAAUUAUUAUUCUCGAUGGUGUCACGGUGCUGGCUGAAAGGCAGCAUAGCUCAGCAGUUAAGCCAGACGGUCCGGGUUCAAAUCCCAUCUCUACCAUGUAAUAGCUGUGUGACCUUGGGUAAGUUACUCAACCUCUCUGUUCCCCCAUCUAUAAAAUGGGGGAAAUGACACUAUCUAUUUUAUAGAGCUAUUGCAAGGAUUAGCAUAGAAAAUGCCUCAACCGUGCCUGCCACUGAUGUCAGGUUUUAUUAUUGCUGUAACACUUUCCCCUAUUCAGAGUUUCAUCUCCUAGAUCCCCGGGCACGGCAACAGCUGGCUUUCAGAUCAGGGCCUCCCUGGGAGGUUUUAGUCUCAGCACAAGUCACCUGCCUUCCCCCUCUCUGGCUCCCAGCAGCCCCAUCCUUCCCCCAGUCUUGGCCCGGGUUCCAGCACCGUCUCCUCCCCUCCCCUUUGCCCCUCAGCCCCAGGGUGACCAAAGCCUCUGCCUCGUGGGACGGCUUUCUAGCACUUUCCUCCUUUUAAGAGAUUGACUGCAAUUUCUAUAGUAACAUCACAUUAGCCAGAAAUUAAUGUCCUCAUUAAGAUAGCAAUUAGGCACAUUAGCGUGGCAAUAAAAGAGAAGCUUAUGAAAUAACUGCUGGUUCCAAAAUGCCUUUUAAUUUAGUAUUUUAUAUUGUGCCAUGUUAUUAAUUUUUUUCCCUCGGCAGAAGAUAAUAAGAGAAAUGUUUGAAUUGUGGGGAGGUUUAAAAUAAAAAAAAUUUUUGAGAAGGAAAGCAAUGUUGAUACCUGUAGACAGACGAUCUGUCUUCUCCCCAAAACCCCAUUGGUCCUGAGUCCAUAGGGUGACUCCAUGGGGUGUCAGAAGAGGGACAGCAUUGAUGGGUAGGGGGCCAGGCCAUGUCCUGGGACUUUUGGCCAGGCUUGGCAUCCAGCGGAGAUUGGAGUGGAACAGCCUUUGAUCCUAGAAGCAGGAGAAAUGGUGCCAUGUUUCUUUGCCCUAAACAACGAAUACCUGUUGGUUUGGGAUUUUCCCCCAAUAGGCUCCAUCUCCUGAAUUCAAAUUCUUUCAGCAAAUGUUUCCUUGGUACCCUGUGGCUCUGACUCUGCUGUUGAGGGCUUUCCAGAUUGUUGGAGACGACAGAUGUAUAAAUGGGAAAAUGCCAUGAUAAACUGGGAAUGCAGUAUUUUGCAACUUGUAAUGAAAUCAUGGCUCUAGGCCGGGCACCGCGGCUCACGCCUGUAAUCCCAGAACUUUGGGAGGGCAAGGUGGGAGGAUCGCUUGAGGCCAGGAGUUCGAGAUCAGUCUGGGAAACAUAAUGAGACCCCCCCGCAACCCCGUCUCUUAAAGAAAAAGAAAAGAAAGAAAGAAAUCAUGGAUCUAGGACAUGAUUAGCCAUGGAUAGUAAAAUCAUUAGGGGAAAGGUGGAUGAGGAAUGGUUUUGUGUGGCCAGGCACAGUGGCUCACACCUGUAAUUCCAGCACUUUGGGAGGCUCAGGCAGGCGGAUCACCCGAGGUCAAGAGUUCGAGACUAGCCUGGCCAACAUGGUGAAACCCCAUCUCUACUAAAAAUACAAAAAUUAGCCCGCUGUGGUGGCAGGUGCCUGUAAUUCCAACUACUCGAGAGGCUGAGGCAGGAGAAUUGCUGGAACCUGGGAGGCAGGGGUUGCAGUGAGUCAAGAUCGCGCCACUGCACUCCAGCCUGGGUGACAGAACAAGACUCUGUCUCAAAAAAAAAAAAAAAAAAAGAAAAAAAAGAAAAGAAAAAAAAGAAAAGGAAAAAAAGGAAUGUUUUAGGGGAGGCCUGUUCUGCUCCCAUCUGAGCCCUGGGUCAAAUUUAGCGUCCUAGGCUGGACAUGAUGUGGCUCCCAUUGGGAGCAGUAGUAGUAGGUUGGUGAGGGCCUGGAAGGAGACGUAUCUCCCUGAGUUAAGGAGGGCACCUCAAAGGAUCAGGCACAUGAACAGAGACCUGAAGGAGGAAAAGCGGAGGAUACACAUAGAGAUCUGGGGGAAGAAGGUUCCAGACAGGAGGAACAGCGGGUGCCAAGACUCUGGGGUGGGAACUAGCAUGGAGAAGUAGAGAUCAGCUAGGAGGCUGAUGUGGCUGGACGGAAGUGAGAGAGAGAGGAGAGGAGGUGCAAUGAGAGAUAUACCAAGGAAAGAAAACAUGGGGCGCUGGGCACGGUGGCUCACGCUUGUAAUCCCAGCACUUUGGGAGGCCAAGGCGGGCGGAUCACCCGAGGUCAGGAGUUAGAGACCAGCCCGGCCAACACGGUGGAACACCGUCUCUAUUAAAAAUACAAAAAUUAGUGGGUCAUGGUGGUACAUGUAAUCCCAGCUACUCGGGAGGCUGAGGCAGGAGAAACGCUUGAGCCUGGGAGGCAGAGGCUGCAGUGAGCCGAGAUCGCGCCACUGCAAUCCAGCCUGGGCAACAAAGCGAGACUCCGUCUCAAAAAAAAAAAAAAAGAAAGAAAAAAGAAAGAAAGAAAGAAAAAGGAAAAAUGGGGAAUUUCAUUGGAAGGCCAUGCCAAAACACAAACAAAAAAGAAACAAAUAAAGGAAAAAUGGGGAAGGAUUCCUCAGGAAGUUAAAGAGUUGACAAUCAAUUUCAGGGACCCCGGGAUUUGAGUCUAGCUCCUUCGUGGGCAAGGGGACGUGCUGACCAAUGCACACCUGUGCCUGCCAGGCUCCUUGUCAGUUACCUGUUGCCAGUUAAGCUGUCUAACAAAGGCCAGGCACAGUGGCUCAUGCCUGUAAUCCCAGCACUUUGAGAGGCCAGGCAGGUGGAUCACUUGAGGCCACAAGUUUGAGACCAACCUGGCCAACAUGGCAAAACCUCGUCUCUACUAAAAAUACAAAAAUUAGUCAGUCGUGGUGGCGGGUGUCUGUAAUCCCACCUACUCGGGAGGCCGAGGCAGGAGAAUCGCUUGAACCCGGGAGGGAGGCAGAGGUUGCAGUGAGCCAAGAUUGCACCACUGCAUUCCAGCCUGGGCCACAAAGUGAGACUGAGACAAAAAAAAAAAAAAAAAAAAAAAAAAAGCUGCCUAACAACGCCCAAAUCCAGCAGCUUAGGACAAUCAGCAUUAAUUUUGGCUUCGCAGGCUACAGGGCAGUUUUUCUGCUCCUGGCUGGGCUCACCCACCAGCGUCUAUGGGUCCAAGAGUCACACUGUAUUUAUUCAGGCUGGGUCUUUUCGUAUAUUUGGGCCCGGCUGGCUAUAGGCUGGUCUAGGACAACAGGAUUCUUCCCUCAUCCUCCAGCAGGCUAGCUCGGGCUUGGUCACCUGACAGGGGCAGGGUUUCCAGACGUCGACCAGAAAGAUGCACCACCUCUUCAGGCCUAGAUUGGGAAGUGACUUCACUU